Molecule: ribosomal RNA, 445 nt
Filed under: uncultured bacterium
Lineage: Bacteria
Description: partial 16S ribosomal RNA
Rfam family: Bacterial small subunit ribosomal RNA
Source: RNAcentral
GUGAGGAAUAUUGCGCAAUGGAGGCAACUCUGACGCAGCCAUGCCGCGUGCAGGAAGAAGGCGCUACGCGUUGUAAACUGCUUUAAACCGGGAAGAAACCCCAGGACGUGUCCUGGGUUGACGGUACCGGAGGAAUAAGCACCGGCUAACUUCGUGCCAGCAGCCGCGGUAAUACGAAGGGUGCAAGCGUUAUCCGGAUUCAUUGGGUUUAAAGGGUGCGUAGGCGGAGCGUUAAGUCAGUGGUGAAAUCCUGCAGCUUAACUGUAGACUUGCCAUUGAUACUGGCGCUCUUGAGUGCGCUUGAAGUGGGCGGAAUGUGCCGUGUAGCGGUGAAAUGCUUAGAUAUGGCACAGAACACCAAUUGCGAAGGCAGCUCACUAAGGCGAUACUGACGCUGAGGCACGAAAGCGUGGGGAUCGAACAGGAUUAGAUACCCUGGUAGUCC